CUUUUACAGCGAGACCUGAAACACACGGAAAGAUUAUCUACGAAAUGAUUUUCAAACAUGAACAAAGGUUUUGGGGACAAUAUUUCAGGUAAUAGCUCCUUUCACAAAAGAAAAGAAGAAAGAAUUGGAGUCGUGUCAUGGGUGCGUGUGCGCUGGUUGUCGUCGCCCCCCGUCUCGUACACACCUGCUCCUGCGGGCAUCUUUCCCACCUGCGUCUCGUUUCCCCUAAUCACGCCGUGCAUUUAACCUCGCGUCUCCGUCUUUCCGGUCGCCGGUUCGUUGUACCUUGUCGUCACGUUGCAGCAUUCCUUGUGUCCACUCUUCCUGUUCCGAUUGUCGACCUUGCCCUUUUUGCCUGACGUUUUUCGGAUACCGUCGCCUUUGCGGCUUGCCCGCCUGUGUACCGACCUCUGCCAGUUUAUUCAACUUCUCUUUUUGAAACUGUCCAUUUGAAUCGGAGUCGCGCAUUUUGCGUCCUGUCCGCUGUUCCGUUCAUGACAAGUCCUGUGAAAUGAUGAAAAUGAUAACAUGACUGCCAACGGCCUAAUAAAUGAAGAAGACUUUUUUUUUUUCCCCUUUAACUGAAGGAACAUAAAUGUGGCAUGAAUCACAGUAUGGACAAAUUUAAAAAUAAGAGAAAUUGAAGUGAACAUUUUGGACUAAAACUAAUUCACAGAGUAAAAGUAAAACCAAUUUUUGGAAGGAGAUGACGAUUGAACACUCGCUGAAUAUGUCAAUUGUAAAACGACCCUGGAAAAGAAUGCAAAUGGGAAAAAUAUGGCUGUUUCUACAUUCAACCUAUCUUAUGUUGCUUAAAAAAAACAUUGAAAUCGAAAUGUUCGUACUUCCUUCAAGCCUUUUUUGAUUGUCUUUGUAAUAUAUUUCUGAUAUUAUGUACAAUAAUUCUCAUCACAACUCUUGUAUUGUGCUGCAGGUGGUCAUUUAUUGUCCUGGUUUUCCCAGUGUCCCCAAAAGGUGUACGAUUUGGUGUUGAACCAGCAUCGAAGGAUUACUUCCGUGUGCGCGGGUUUUGCAUUUUUACUUAACUUUCUUUCCGGAAGAACGGCAGUGGUCCAAGAAAAAAAACAAAAAAAAACAAUAUCAAGCAAUAGUGAAUGUGAGUCUCAAUGGUUGUUUGUCUAUAAAAUCAGCCGGUAUAGGCGACAGCAUGCCCCUGGCCCGAAUGAGGACAAGCGCGAUACAAAAUGGAUGGCCGCAUGCAUGAAAUGUGAUGCUGUGAUUGUAGUUGCAGCUCUUCUUUUUUUCCCCCUCUGCACUGUUCCCAAAUGUUAUUUCUUUGAAAGGAAAUGACCAGAGGAAAUGCCAGCAGUGCAACACGCUGGCUCUGUGAAGAUCCUUCUUCUUUUUCCACAUUGUCAAGGCAAGUCAAAAUGUUUACAGUAAACUAAAAUCACAACAUAUACUUUACGUACAUACGUAGAUGUUGUCGUGCUUUAAAAAAAAUAAAUAAAAAUUGCUCUCCAUGUUUGUGUUGCAGUGUUAACGGUGGGGUUUAGUUCCCAGACCCUGCAAGAAAGUGUGGCCCCCUCGAGGGUUUGAAUGGGGGGCUUAGUGGCAAAAAGGCAACUAACUAAAAGGACUUAAAACCACCCACUUGAACAGAGCGGGCAGCAGCGGGUGACCUAGAAAAUGGACCGUGCACAACCGUGCACUUUAUAAAUACAGUCGUGCCCAUUGAAAUGGAUGGCAAUACCCUUAAGCCAUUUCAGACCGCGCAAAAAGGGCACAUCUUUGCAACGUGUUCUUUGAAAUAAUAAAAAGAUCACGCAAUAGUAUUGAACCCUAUCAAAACACUAAUACCAUUAUUAAUAACAUCAUUAAAAAGAAUAUACAGAAUGACACAGUUUUUCCCGCAUUUCUUAAAUUCAAUGGAUAUUGUGCUACUCCUUCUGGUGUGCGCACCUUGACCACCUAGGGGCAGUAUAAUGACUACACAGUUUCACAACUGACUAAGUUGCGGCAAUAUUAGUCUUUUUGGUUUUUUUUUUUUCUUUGGCAAAGGAUAAAGAAAGUAUGCUUGUGAGUUUUUCUGUCUUACUAUUGCUGCAAUAAACAGCUUGAAGCCUCGUCGAAGAAUCGCCCGCGCGCUGCCAGACGGCCGCUCGUUGUGAAGUCAGUUGAGUGGAGUUCACGACCAACGUACAGCGCUUGUAUCUCAACAUUUUGCUCGCAUGUCGAAGCAGAACAAUCGUUCAAACAACGGCUCGUAUCUUGAAAAACUCACGGCACCGCUACAAAUGCCAUCGCUUAAUCGCAACGAGCGCGACUUGCUUAGUGAUAGAGAGACUAAAAUGUCAGUGGACCAGCCAGGACAGCUCCCGCGUUGACUUAGUCUGUGCUUGUGUCGCUGUUCAGUUGUGUGCAGAGUUUGUACAAACACACGACGAGAGGAAGCUGAGGGUCUCUGCAGCCUCAGUGGUCAGUGAGUCAGCCCCCCGGGGAAAGGUCUUGGCGAACAGCUCCACCUACCGGUGGCACUCAGUGAAUCUGCAUUACUUUGUGCUUGAAGAGCCCUGAAAUAAGUUUGUAGAACGGAGCUACUGCGGGAUCUCGAAUUCCGAUGGCAAUCUGUUCCGGGGAUGCUGGUGGAUUUGCUUGAAUUUAAUAUCAAUUUGUCCCGUAGGAAAUAAUGCUUAUGCUUAUUGCUGAAGGAGAGUUGACUUUAAGCAUCACUUUUGAACAUUGUUAAUUGAACUACAAGUGUAAAAAAAAAAAAAGUUAAGCCAAACAAAUGUGUGUACUCACACUCUGUCUUGGGGGAGGAGAUUUGGUUAUUUUGUUAUGUGUGUGUUCUGUGUUGGCCACCUAAGUACAACACACAUUAUAACAGCAGUAAGAAUACACAAACUGAUUUUUUCUCCAUAUGUGGAUUUCCACAUUUUAAAAAGAAUUUUAGUUGUUGAAAAUUGAUAUGCUGACAUUUUGUGUGGUUGUUUGAACUGCAACUUUAGAGGCAAGAAAUUGCAUUCGUGGAACGCCAUGGAAAUAAAGAUAAAGCUUCCUUU
Long non-coding RNA from Phyllopteryx taeniolatus (common seadragon), 3026 nucleotides. RefSeq lists it as uncharacterized. NCBI's taxonomy places the organism in Eukaryota, Metazoa, Chordata, Actinopteri, Syngnathiformes, Syngnathidae. The record is from RefSeq and is a predicted model, not a curated record. The transcript has 2 exons.